This 442-nucleotide ribosomal RNA is filed under the name uncultured bacterium. Its description in RNAcentral is "partial 16S ribosomal RNA". It matches the Rfam family "Bacterial small subunit ribosomal RNA", at positions 338 to 795 of the family's 1533-position model. The record is from RNAcentral.
CCUACGGGAGGCAGCAGUAGGGAAUCUUUCACAAUGGGCGAAAGCCUGAUGGAGCAACGCCGCGUGCAGGAUGAAGGCCUUCGGGUUGUAAACUGCUUUUAUAAGCGAGAAAUAUGAUGGUAACUUAUGAAUAAGGAUCGGCUAACUACGUGCCAGCAGCCGCGGUCAUACGUAGGAUCCGAGCAUUAUCCGGAGUGACUGGGUGUAAAGAGUUGCGUAGGUGGCAUAAUAAGUAGCUAGUGAAAUCUGGUGGCUCAACCAUUCAGACUAUUAGCGAAACUGUUAAGCUCGAGACCGUUAGGGGUAACUGGAAGUUCUAGUGUAGGAGUGAAAUCCGUAGAUAUUAGAAGGAACACCAAUAGCGUAGGCAGGUUGCUGGGACGGUUCUGACACUAAGGCACGAAAGCGUAGGGAGCAAACGGGAUUAGAUACCCCAGUAGUC